This is a ribosomal RNA of 1229 nucleotides. It matches the Rfam family "Eukaryotic small subunit ribosomal RNA", at positions 3 to 1286 of the family's 1831-position model.
CCUGAUUGAUUCUGUCAGCGCGAUAUGCUCAAGUAAAAGAUUAAGCCAUGCAUGCUUGAUUCAUCAAUGAAAUUGCGUACGGCUCAUUAGAGCAGAUAUAAUCUCGUUCGGAAUUCCAAUAUGGAUAACUGCGGAAAUACUGGAGCUAAUACAUGCAACUAAGCCCUGACGCAAGGAUGGGCGCAAUUAUUAGAUCAAGCCAGACGUUCUCGGACGUAGUUUGUUGACUCUGAAUAAAGCAGUUUAGUGUCAGUUUCGACUGACUCUAUCCGAAAAGAGUGUCUGCCCUUUCAACUAGAUGGUAGUUCAUUGGACUACCAUGGUUGUUACGGGUAACGGAGAAUAAGGGUUCGACUCCGGAGAGGGAGCCUUAGAAACGGCUACCACGUCCAAGGAAGGCAGCAGGCGCGAAACUUAUCCACUGUUAAUUAUGAGAUAGUGACUAAAAAUAUAAAGACUCAUCCUUUUGGAUGAGUUAUUUCAAUGAGUUGAAUUUAAACAAUUCUUCGAGUAACAAGGAGAGGGCAAGUCUGGUGCCAGCAGCCGCGGUAAUUCCAGCUCUCCUAGUGUAUCUCGUUAUUGCUGCGGUUAAAAAGCUCGUAGUUGGAUCUAGGUUACGUACUGUAGUUCGCUUUUAGCGUUAACUUUGGUCGUAGCUUCUAUCGGCUGGUUUGAGGGUGGUUCGCCAUCAGCUGCCAGCAGGUUUACCUUGAACAAAUCAGAGUGCUCAAUACAAGCGCUUGCUUGAAUAGCUCAUCAUGGAAUAAUGAAACAGGACUUCGGUUCUUUUUGUUGGUUCUAGAACUGAUUUAAUGGUUAAGAGGGACAAACCGGGGGCAUUCGUAUCAUUACGCGAGAGGUGAAAUUCGUGGACCGUAGUGAGACGCCCAACAGCGAAAGCAUUUGCCAAGAAUGUCUUCAUUAAUCAAGAACGAAAGUCAGAGGUUCGAAGGCGAUUAGAUACCGCCCUAGUUCUGACCGUAAACGAUGCCAUCUCGCGAUUCGGAGGGUUUUUGCCUUGCCGAGGAGCUAUCCGGAAACGAAAGUCUUUCGGUUCCGGGGGUAGUAUGGUUGCAAAGCUGAAACUUAAAGAAAUUGACGGAAGGGCACCACAAGGCGUGGAGCUUGCGGCUUAAUUUGACUCAACACGGGAAAACUCACCCGGUCCGGACACCAUUAGGACUGACAGAUUGAAAGCUCUUUCUCGAUUUGGUGGUUGGUGGUGCAUG